Molecule: non-coding RNA, 113 nt
Filed under: Aeromonas salmonicida subsp. smithia
Lineage: Bacteria; Pseudomonadati; Pseudomonadota; Gammaproteobacteria; Aeromonadales; Aeromonadaceae
Source: RNAcentral
GGUACUUUACGGUAUCUGCUUCCUCUCACCGAAGCUGUUACCCACCGGAUUCCAAGGUCGCCAAACCGAGGAACACCGGGCAAAGAACCCACCUUACGGUGGGUUUUUUGUUU